Molecule: long non-coding RNA, 217 nt
Organism: Mastomys coucha (southern multimammate mouse)
Lineage: Eukaryota; Metazoa; Chordata; Mammalia; Rodentia; Muridae
Exons: 3
Source: RefSeq, a predicted model, not a curated record
GCUUGCCAAUGGGACUGAGCAAGUUAUCUAGCAGCCUAUGAAAUUGGAACAGCUUUGGCCCAAGGAGUUGUGAAGUGGUUGUUGAGGCAACGGUUUGCAGAUGAAGUGGGGCAUACAGAUCCACCGUGGAGUCACCUCUUCUGCCACAGAAGACAGAAGCAACAAUCUCAUUCUCGGGAGGGCCCAGGAGAAAGAAAUUUUGAGAAGAUAUAGUCUU